RNAcentral lists this ribosomal RNA (460 nucleotides) under uncultured bacterium. Its description in RNAcentral is "partial 16S ribosomal RNA". It matches the Rfam family "Bacterial small subunit ribosomal RNA", at positions 338 to 795 of the family's 1533-position model. The record is from RNAcentral.
CCUACGGGUGGCAGCAGUGAGGAAUAUUGGUCAAUGGUCGCGAGCCUGAACCAGCCAAGUAGCGUGAAGGAUGAAUGUCCUGCGGGUUGUAAACUUCUUUUAUAAAGGAAUAAAGUGAGGCACGCGUGCCUGUUUGUGUGUACUUGAUGAAUAAGGAUCGGCUAACUCCGUGCCCGCAGCCGCGGUAAUACGGAGGAUGCGAGCGUUAUCCGGAUUUAUUGGGUUUAAAGGGAGCGUAGGUGGGUUGUUAAGUCAGUUGUGAAAGUCUGCGGCUCAACCGUAAGACUGCAAUUGAUACUGGCAGCCUUGAGUACAGGUGAGGUAGGCGGAAUUCGUGGUGUAGCGGUGAAAUGCUUAGAUAUCACGAAGAACUCCGAUUGCGAAGGCAGCAUACUAAACUCCCACUGACAUUGAUGCUCGAAAGUGUGGGUAUCAAACAGGAUUAGAUACCCGAGUAGUC